Molecule: transfer RNA, 73 nt
Filed under: Ixodes scapularis (black-legged tick)
Lineage: Eukaryota; Metazoa; Arthropoda; Arachnida; Ixodida; Ixodidae
Description: tRNA-Ser
Rfam family: tRNA
About the family: Transfer RNA (tRNA) molecules are approximately 80 nucleotides in length. Their secondary structure includes four short double-helical elements and three loops (D, anti-codon, and T loops).
Source: Rfam by way of RNAcentral
ACCUGGCUAGCUCAGUUGGUAGAGCGUUCCACUGGAAAUGGAGAGGUCCCGGGUUCGAUACCCGGACUAGGCG